ACACAUGCAAGUCGAACGGAGAUUAUUUGGUUGAAGUUUUCGGAUGGACACCGGGUGAUCUUAGUGGCGAACGGGUGAGUAACGCGUGAGCAAUCUGCCUCAGAGUGGGGGACAACAGUUGGAAACGACUGCUAAUACCGCAUAAGCCCACAGCACCGCAUGGUGCAGGGGGAAAAGAUUUAUUGCUUUGAGAUGAGCUCGCGUCCAAUUAGCUAGUUGGUGAGGUAACGGCCCACCAAGGCGACGAUUGGUAGCCGGACUGAGAGGUUGAACGGCCACAUUGGGACUGAGAUACGGCCCAGACUCCUACGGGAGGCAGCAGUGGGGAAUAUUGCACAAUGGGGGGAACCCUGAUGCAGCGACGCCGCGUGGAGGAAGAAGGUCUUCGGAUUGUAAACUCCUGUUGUUAGGGACGAUAAUGACGGUACCUAACAAGGAAGCACCGGCUAACUACGUGCCAGCAGCCGCGGUAAAACGUAGGGUGCAAGCGUUGUCCGGAAUUACUGGGUGUAAAGGGAGCGCAGGCGGGCAUGCAAGUUGGAAGUGAAAACUAUGGGCUCAACCCAUAGCCUGCUUUCAAAACUGCGUGUCUUGAGUAGUGCAGAGGUAGGCGGAAUUCCCGGUGUAGCGGUGGAAUGCGUAGAUAUCGGGAGGAACACCAGUGGCGAAGGCGGCCUACUGGGCACCAACUGACGCUGAGGCUCGAAAGCAUGGGUAGCAAACAGGAUUAGAUACCCUGGUAGUCCAUGCCGUAAACGAUGAUUACUAGGUGUUGGAGGAUUGACCCCUUCAGUGCCGCAGUUAACACAAUAAGUAAUCCACCUGGGGAGUACGACCGCAAGG
RNAcentral lists this ribosomal RNA (843 nucleotides) under uncultured bacterium. RNAcentral describes it as "bacterial SSU rRNA". It matches the Rfam family "Bacterial small subunit ribosomal RNA", at positions 51 to 893 of the family's 1533-position model. The record is from RNAcentral.